RNAcentral lists this long non-coding RNA (3169 nucleotides) under Ananas comosus (pineapple). Its description in RNAcentral is "long non-coding RNA (ACOM_LNC013299)". The record is from RNAcentral. Lineage: Eukaryota; Viridiplantae; Streptophyta; Magnoliopsida; Poales; Bromeliaceae.
UUUUUUUUCCUUUCCUCUUCUAAUAUUUUUUUCCCUUUUCCCUCUCUUUUCUAAUCUUUUUUGUUUUGUUUCAUAUAAUUUUAGAUCCCAUUCAAAAAUUAAAAAAAUAAAUUUAAAAAUUAAAUUUUAACCAGUUUCGGUGCUAUUUACUAUAUAGUUUAAAAUUUUUAAAAUUUAUAUAAAUUUUUCACUGCGUAGCGCUGGCCUUCACUAGUAAUCCUAAUGAUGCAUUUGAGAGAGAAGUGCGAUCAUCAUCAUCCAAUCACAAGUUUCAGUCAUAUCAGGUAAAUAUCUUGCCUAUACACUCAAUGUCGUAUGUUUCCAAGCUAUCAUAUGUUUAAGACAUAUUUUUAAGGACGGGAAGCAUUACUCUCAUAUGUGUGUGUGUGUAUAUAUAUCGGUCAAUAUUUGCUGCUAUAUGUAAACGACCAAUCUUGAUUCGACACUAAACCUUUCAUGAGCUUGGAUCAUUUCUAGUACUUAUCAGUUUUGUUUGCUUAAAUAGAACUUCUGAAAAAACAGUUAGAAGGUUUUUAUUAAACUAUUUCCUAUACCUUUUGUUGAAGUAAUAAUAAAAAUUAAGCUAUAAACUCACUAAUCUGCUUUGAGCUAUUUCAGUUUCAUAUGCAGUAAAAACUGUAAACAUUCCUUUUUGAUGAGAAGGACAAUUUGAAUGUUUGAAACUCAUUUAUAGCAUAAUAUAGCAAGUUUAACUUGUUUAUCCAAGCAUAAUAAUCGCAUUCUAAUGCAGAUUUCCUAUGUUCUAUACAUAUGUGUCAAUGAUUAGGAUAAAGAAUAAUAUGUCAUUCUUGCUAAUUUGAGCAUAGUACACUUACUCGUAACUUGUCUACACGAGUAUAGAUGUUGUCAUGCAAGGACUUUAGCAUUAGUAGUUCACUCUACUUAUUAGAGUAUAGUCCACUAGAUGACAUGCAUACUACUAGUAUAUCCAAUAACUCGUUUAGGACGCCGUUAGCGCCACACAGAUACAUCUUUUUAGUUCUAUGCCUAAAGAUAAGAACGUAGAGAGAAAUCACCCAUUUCGUGAGGUCAAACCCACCUACUAAUCGACGAUUCUCGUCGAUCUCGCGAUUGCAGGCAAUCCGAAGUCUCCAAGUCCCCUAACAACGAAUCAAAAAUCAGCUAAGAGCUUAUUUGAGAUACCUAUAGCAAAACCUCACCUCUUCACAUAAUAUGAACUAAAUUCUCACCUAGGUUUAGAUGAAAGCCAAGCCUUUACUUCAAUCCAGGUGGAAGCACCCCACAAUCAGCAUAAUCCAGCUCAAUUGAGUCCCAAAAUUCAGCUCAAAUGAGUCCCAACCCUGCUGUAAACAUAGUUCCAAAUCUGCACACUACCUCGCUAAUAGGCCUAAAUAGCAUAAGCAUAAUGCAAGUGGUGAACUAAUGUGACGCCCCAACUUCCCAGGGGGUCACCCAUCCUAGGACUACUCCCGUCCUAGCACGCUUAACUCUCUUAACCUCUUGGGUCUAGCCACCACCCAAAAUGCUUAAGCCGGGUUAAGAGUUUAGCCCUAUUAUAUCUUAUAUAUAGACUAUCUGGGGUCUCACAAUCUCCCCCCCUUUAAGCCCUGACGUCCUCGUCAGGCUCAGACUCACAAGUACCAGGCGAUGUGAGACUCAUCUCGCUAGCCCGUCAUCCAGACCCUGGCUCAGCCGAGACUCAUCUCACACUUCCGGCUGGUAAUUGGCUCUAAUACCAUCUGUAACGCCCCAGCUUCCCAGGGGGCCACCUAUCCUAGGACUACUCCCGUCCUAGCACGCUUAACUCUCUUAACCUCUUGGGAAGAUGAGAGAUAUAAGAUGAGGCUAGUAUAAAUUAAUAUGAGAUGGGUAUAUCUUUGAUAUAAGUAUUGAGCUUGCAUCCCCGUGUUCUAUUAUACUCUACUCAUAUGUUUCUAUGCUUAGUAUUCAUGUGUAGGGUGAGUAGUUAUCCAUAUGUGAUCCCGGUACCUGAUUGGUCGUUCCGUACUUUGUUUCGAUGACCUGAUUGGUCGGUUCUCGUACUUCGUUUCGGUGACCUAGUUGAUCGGUGCUUUUAUCUUAUAUCUGUUGACCUGGUUGUCGGUUGUUACACUAUGUAUUGGUUGGUUCUUCCUGAUUUCCGUCGUUUUGAUGACCUUUGAGCGUCGUGUACCCUGAGGGGUAGGAUUGUCGGCCAUGGCCGACGGUAGUGUAGAUUAUAUACUCAGAUGACUUGUUUGAUCGUUCUUGCAUAAUACAGUAGUUGACCUAUUGAUCAGUAUCUACAUACUUUUGGUAGAAUGUUGAGUUGUUCCAUCCGCAGUUGACUUGAUUAGUCGAGUACUUGCAUACAUGUGAGGAGGAUGAGAGUCGUUCCAUCCUAGUUGACCUGAGUGGUCGGUUCUUGUGCUUUCUUUAUAGUUGAUGACCUAUUGUCGGGUUUCCCGGGCGGUGAUUGUCGCUGAGUUGCCGCAUUUGGCUAUUGAUCAUAUCCCGCAUUGAUCGCCACAGCUCGAGUGCAUUUCACGUACACAGCGGGUUGAUCCCCGCGCAGGAGGGUGUUCUUUUCCGAAAAGUGGUCGUACAUCCCCCGUGAGCCCAGCGGUGUUCUCUUUGUGCUAGGUUACAUGCCAGGUGUGAGCAGAUAGUGCGUUUUGCCUGAGUCCUUAGACCGACACGGGCGGUUUAGAUUGGGUACUUUUGGACUUCUCGUCCAGUUGUACGCAUAUAGCUAUAGUAGCGGUUGUUGCAUAUAUACUUCUAGUUCUUUCCUUACAGUUGUCUUGCUACUAUAGUUUUGAAUAUCCUUGUAUGCUUGCAGUUGUACAUUACAGUACGCGUAGUUGUGUUUAUAUAUAUAUAUAUAUAUAUCUUGUUCGUUCAUUAUCGUACUACUGUAUUUUACUUACUAUACUGUUGUUUAUCUCUUCCUGAUCCGGUGAGUACUCCUCGCCUUCUUCGCUUGCGGUACCCACUGGAGGGGAGACAUGUUUACAUGUUCUCACCUCCCCACUAAUUUUUCAGGUAUUACAGGCGUUGAGUUUUGGGACGAGACGUGAGGUAUGUUCGUAGCGGUCGAUAGAGCUUCCGACACAGGUUAUCGGUUUAGUUUUAGCCCUACUAUUCUGUUGUGAUAGCUUAGUCAGUUUAUAUGGUUCAGUAUUUUUAUUACAUUGGAAUAUGUGGA